Molecule: ribosomal RNA, 709 nt
Filed under: Eurotium sp.
Lineage: Eukaryota; Fungi; Ascomycota; Eurotiomycetes; Eurotiales; Aspergillaceae
Description: eukaryotic LSU rRNA
Rfam family: Eukaryotic large subunit ribosomal RNA
Source: RNAcentral
GGGAUUGCCUCAGUAACGGCGAGUGAAGCGGCAAGAGCUCAAAUUUGAAAUCUGGCCCCUCCGGGGUCCGAGUUGUAAUUUGUAGAGGAUGCUUCGGGUGCGGCCCCCGUCUAAGUGCCCUGGAACGGGCCAUCGGAGAGGGUGAGAAUCCCGUCUGGGACGGGGUGUCCGCGUCCAUGUGAAGCUCCUUCGACGAGUCGAGUUGUUUGGGAAUGCAGCUCUAAAUGGGUGGUAAAUUUCAUCUAAAGCUAAAUACUGGCCGGAGACCGAUAGCGCACAAGUAGAGUGAUCGAAAGAUGAAAAGCACUUUGAAAAGAGAGUUAAACAGCACGUGAAAUUGUUGAAAGGGAAGCGCUUGCGACCAGACUCGCUUCCGGGGUUCAGCCGGCUUUCGGGCCGGUGUACUUCCCCGGGGGCGGGCCAGCGUCGGUUUGGGCGGCCGGUCAAAGGCCCCUGGAAUGUAACGCCUCUCGGGGCGCCUUAUAGCCAGGGGUGUCAUGCGGCCAGCCUGGACCGAGGAACGCGCUUCGGCACGGACGCUGGCAUAAUGGUCGUAAACGACCCGUCUUGAAACACGGACCAAGGAGUCUAACAUCUACGCGAGUGUUCGGGUGUCAAACCCGUGCGCGCAGUGAAAGCGAACGGAGGUGGGAGCCCCCUCGCGGGGCGCACCAUCGACCGAUCCUGAUGUCUUCGGAUGGAUUUGAGU